GGUGGAUACCUCGGCUCGUGUAUCGAUGAAGAACGCAGCUUGCUGCG
This 47-nucleotide ribosomal RNA is filed under the name Tetracapsuloides bryosalmonae. RNAcentral's name for it is "partial 5.8S ribosomal RNA". The record is from RNAcentral. Lineage: Eukaryota; Metazoa; Cnidaria; Myxozoa; Malacovalvulida; Saccosporidae.